This 497-nucleotide ribosomal RNA is filed under the name uncultured bacterium. Its description in RNAcentral is "partial 16S ribosomal RNA". It matches the Rfam family "Bacterial small subunit ribosomal RNA", at positions 28 to 507 of the family's 1533-position model. The record is from RNAcentral.
GAUGAACGCUGGCGGCGUGCCUAAUACAUGCGAGUCGAGCGAACAGACGAGGAGCUUGCUCCUCUGACGUUAGCGGCGGACGGGUGAGUAACACGUGGAUAACCUACCUAUAAGACUGGGAUAACUUCGGGAAACCGGAGCUAAUACCGGAUAAUAUAUUGAACCGCAUGGUUCAAUAGUGAAAGACGGUUUUGCUGUCACUUAUAGAUGGAUCCGCGCCGCAUUAGCUAGUUGGUAAGGUAACGGCUUACCAAGGCAACGAUGCGUAGCCGACCUGAGAGGGUGAUCGGCCACACUGGAACUGAGACACGGUCCAGACUCCUACGGGAGGCAGCAGAAGGGAAUCUUCCGCAAUGGGCGAAAGCCUGACGGAGCAACGCCGCGUGAGUGAUGAAGGUCUUCGGAUCGUAAAACUCUGUUAUUAGGGAAGAACAAAUGUGUAAGUAACUAUGCACGUCUUGACGGUACCUAAUCAGAAAGCCACGGCUAACUACGUG